UAGAUAAGUCUUUGGAAACUUGUUGUUAAUAUUUUUUUUUGAUUUUUUUAAGGUUUUUCUGGGGUUGAUUUUUAUUAAAAAUUUUUUGACCUAUUUUUAUUUUUAAAAGUUACUUCGGAGUUAACAGAGCGGUGGACAUUAUUAUAGUUUGUUAUAUUAUAUGCUGCGCUACAUCGAUGUUGUAUACUUGUUUUUAAAGUGAGGAGAUGAUUUUAUUUUUGAGACUGUUCUUCUUUUUAUAAAUGGGACGUGAU
RNAcentral lists this ribosomal RNA (254 nucleotides) under Pterygodermatites tani. RNAcentral describes it as "partial large subunit ribosomal RNA". Lineage: Eukaryota; Metazoa; Nematoda; Chromadorea; Rhabditida; Rictulariidae. The record is from RNAcentral.